AUAUAUUGUGCCUCAGAAAUGGUAGUGCAAUGGAUAGAAAGUAUGUUAACAUAAACUUCCUGUAAAAUUAGUAACUCCAUAGGACAAGCCUUUGGUCAAUCGAACAAGGUGGCUCCAAUUUCUCACUCUGGGCCUGCAAGGUAUCUUUACACGUUUCCACAGGCCUAUAGAGUAAGGUAUUAUUCCUAGGCUUCUUCACAAUGACUGCCCAGAUUCUGGUGGGGACUGAAAUUGGGGAAAGGAACAAGCCCAGACCAAGAACCAGUAACUCCACAUAUGGUUGGCUCAUCCUACAUAGACUGUGCCUAUGGUGGGACAGAACUAGCAGCAGCAGCUAUUGGACUUGCUCAAAGAAGGAUGGUCGGCUUUCCCAGCACUACCAGCAGGCCCUGCCUACACCCAAAGAGUGACUGCCACAGAGAUAGUUCAAGGUGACAAUGGCUCCUCUGCAGCAGCACAUAGCAGUCUUGCCAGACACAACAGCAGAUCAAGUAACUACUGAAGAUGAUGGCUACACUUGGACAGCUGAGUGAAGAGAAUAUCCACUUUGUUGGCUUCUGACAUACACACUGACAGCACAGUUCACCAGACAACAAUCACUCUUCUGGCGUCCCUUUCCCCAGGUAUUCUAUUCGCUUACUGCUCUAUCUUCCCUGCCAGUCCACUCCCUCCUCUUUCCAGCCUGUGCCUUAGACAAGGACCCCAAACAAGGAUCACCUGGGAAACUCCAAAAAACAGAUUCCUAGUCAUAAUCCCAAUUUUACCAAAAAAGAAGCGUUUGGAAACCCCUUAGAUCGACAAGCAGCAUCCAAAGACACCAAAA
Long non-coding RNA from Homo sapiens (human), 823 nucleotides. RefSeq lists it as uncharacterized. The transcript is spliced from 3 exons. NCBI's taxonomy places the organism in Eukaryota, Metazoa, Chordata, Mammalia, Primates, Hominidae. The record is from RefSeq and is a predicted model, not a curated record.